UACGUAGGGGGCAAGCGUUGUCCGGAUUUAUUGGGCGUAAAGAGCGUGUAGGCGGCCAGGUAGGUCCGUUGUGAAAACUCGAGGCUCAACCUCGAGACGUCGGCGGAAACCAUCUGGCUAGAGUCCGGAAGAGGAGAGUGGAAUUCCUGGUGUAGCGGUGAAAUGCGCAGAUAUCAGGAAGAACACCCGUGGCGAAGGCGGCUCUCUGGGACGGUACUGACGCUGAGACGCGAAAGCGUGGGGAGCGAACAGG
This 253-nucleotide ribosomal RNA is filed under the name uncultured bacterium. RNAcentral describes it as "partial 16S ribosomal RNA". It matches the Rfam family "Bacterial small subunit ribosomal RNA", at positions 524 to 776 of the family's 1533-position model. The record is from RNAcentral.